RNAcentral lists this long non-coding RNA (370 nucleotides) under Gallus gallus (chicken). Its description in RNAcentral is "long non-coding RNA NONGGAT009247". Lineage: Eukaryota; Metazoa; Chordata; Aves; Galliformes; Phasianidae. The record is from RNAcentral.
UGGGUGAUGCAGAUGAUAUGAAAAUAGACUGUUGAGAGCAAAACAGUGCACUUCAACAAUAACCAGCAACCAUUCAGUGAGCGUGCUGGAAGGAACCAGAAGCUUCCCAUCUUUAAAGUCAGGUUGUAUUUGAUGCAAAAUAUCAAACAAGAACAUGAGAGGUCUCUGCAGGGGAGAAAGCUGAGGCUCAUCAGUGUAGUCUGAUUGGAAGGUUUGCAAAAGAACCCUCCUGCCCAGUAUAUCUUACUAGCUUUCCUGCCUGCUGCUCCUUGCUUGCUGUGCCUCUCUGCAUGCUCUCCCACCCACUGCACCAGAGCUGCUUCUCCAGAAAGGUCACUGCUUCUCCCUGCAGCUUCUCUGUGCUCAGAAG